AUUCAACCCAAUACCUCAGACAACUGGUAAAUAUCUUAAUGAUUAACUUCGUUUUAAAGAUGCCACAUGAGUGAGAUCAUGAGGUAUUUGUCUUUCUGUGUCUUAUUUUGCUUACAUGAUAUCCUCAGGUUUAUCCGUGUUGUGGCAAAUGAUAGGGUUUCAUUCUUUUAUUAGAGCUGAAUAGUACUCCAUUGUGUAUAUAUACCACAUUUUCUUUUUUCUGAAAGGAAAAUCUUGGGGCCCCAAAAUUACUAAACUAAGGGAAAAGACAAGCUCGGAACUGCUCAGGACAAACCUGCCUCCCAUUCUAUUCAAAGUCAUUCCUCUGCUCACUGAGAUAAAUGCAUAUUGAUAGCCUCCUUUGGAGAGGCUUAUCAGAAACCCAGAAACUGCAACCAUUUGUCUGUCACCUACCUGUGACCUGGAAGCCCCCUCCCUGUUCCAAGUUGCCCCCGCC
This 457-nucleotide long non-coding RNA is filed under the name Homo sapiens (human). Its description in RNAcentral is "LHRI_LNC922.1". Lineage: Eukaryota; Metazoa; Chordata; Mammalia; Primates; Hominidae. The record is from RNAcentral.